AACGAACGCUGGCGGCAUGCCUAACACAUGCGAGUCGAACGAUGCCUUCGGGCAUAGUGGCGCACGGGUGCGUAACGCGUGGGAAUCUGCCUUUCGGUUCGGAAUAACUCAGGGAAACUUGAGCUAAUACCGGAUAACGUCGCAAGACCAAAGAUUUAUCACCGAAAGAUGAGCCCGCGUAGGAUUAGCUAGUUGGUGAGGUAAAGGCUCACCAAGGCGACGAUCCUUAGCUGGUCUGAGAGGAUGAUCAGCCACACUGGGACUGAGACACGGCCCAGACUCCUACGGGAGGCAGCAGUGGGGAAUAUCGGACAAUGGGCGAAAGCCUGAUCCAGCAAUGCCGCGUGAGUGAUGAAGGCCUUAGGGUUGUAAAGCUCUUUUACCCGGGAAGAUAAUGACGGUACCGGGAGAAUAAGCCCCGGCUAACUCCGUG
Molecule: ribosomal RNA, 433 nt
Filed under: uncultured bacterium
Lineage: Bacteria
Description: partial 16S ribosomal RNA
Rfam family: Bacterial small subunit ribosomal RNA
Source: RNAcentral